Molecule: non-coding RNA, 234 nt
Organism: Python bivittatus (Burmese python)
Lineage: Eukaryota; Metazoa; Chordata; Lepidosauria; Squamata; Pythonidae
Source: RefSeq, a predicted model, not a curated record
UGCUGUUCCUGAAGAAAAACCACUUCAUGUCAGCAGCCACGGAGAGUUGAGGGGCCGAGGGCUUCCUGAGCGGCGCUCCAGCCAGUAGGAAAUCAUCAGGGAAUGGUAAAGUCCCCUGCAGUAUGUAAAGAAGCCUUCCGGGUCAUCUCAUGUUGAACAUCUGUUGGUGUGUUUCGUGCAGUGGAAAGGAGGAGGAAUAGCCAAAGAAGCCGCAAUUGUUGCAAGGUUACAGCA